ACACCAAGGAUGUAAGUAUUGUAUGGUCUACAGAUGAUAAUGAUGAGGGAGGCGUAGAAUAUACAGCAGACAUAACAAAGCCAUGGCAAGUACAUAAAAAGACACAACCAGAUGAAAUGUUAGAUAACAUUUGCGAUCCUAGCGAGUUUCGAGGUGACCUUGUUAGUCUCAUCUGCCAUUUGAUAGUCGGGGUGUGUUUGAAAGAAGUCAAAUCGACUAAAGAGCAUUACGAGGAGUAUCAUACUGCAUUAUCGAUGUUCCUUUUGAAAAAGGGCGAUUGGACAAUUUCUAAACAGAAUAUGACAAGGGUUUUUAAUCAGAGAUCUCUUGAAUACAUCUAU
Long non-coding RNA from Mytilus californianus (California mussel), 341 nucleotides. RefSeq lists it as uncharacterized. The record is from RefSeq and is a predicted model, not a curated record. The transcript has 3 exons. NCBI's taxonomy places the organism in Eukaryota, Metazoa, Mollusca, Bivalvia, Mytilida, Mytilidae.